Molecule: ribosomal RNA, 468 nt
Filed under: uncultured bacterium
Lineage: Bacteria
Description: partial 16S ribosomal RNA
Rfam family: Bacterial small subunit ribosomal RNA
Source: RNAcentral
GACGAACGCUGGCGGCGUGCUUAACACAUGCAAGUCGAACGGAAAGGCCCUGCUUUUGUUGGGUGCUCGAGUGGCGAACGGGUGAGUAACACGUGAGUAACCUGCCCUUGACUUUGGGAUAACUUCAGGAAACUGGGGCUAAUACCGGAUAGGAUCUCCUGCUGCAUGGUGGGGGUUGGAAAGUUUCGGCGGUUGUGGAUGGACUCGCGGCUUAUCAGCUUGUUGGUGGGGUAGUGGCUUACCAAGGCUUUGACGGGUAGCCGGCAUGAGAGGGUGACCGGCCACAUUGGGACUGAGAUACGGCCCAGACUCCUACGGGAGGCAGCAGUGGGGAAUAUUGCACAACGGGCGGAAGCCUGAUGCAGCAACGCCGCGUGCGGGAUGACGGCCUUCGGGUUGUAAACCGCUUUCGCCUGUGACGAAGCGUGCGUGACGGUAAUGGGUAAAGAAGCACCGGCUAACUACGUG